UAAAUGCCUCAGCAAGUGGAGCAGUAAUCCC
This 31-nucleotide non-coding RNA is filed under the name Rattus norvegicus (Norway rat). The record is from RNAcentral. Lineage: Eukaryota; Metazoa; Chordata; Mammalia; Rodentia; Muridae.